This 545-nucleotide ribosomal RNA is filed under the name uncultured bacterium. RNAcentral's name for it is "bacterial SSU rRNA". It matches the Rfam family "Bacterial small subunit ribosomal RNA", at positions 772 to 1316 of the family's 1533-position model. The record is from RNAcentral.
ACGUAAUAGAUACCCAGGUAGUCCACGCCCUAAACGAUGUCUACUAGUUGUUGGUGGAGUAAAAUCCAUGAGUAAACGCAGCUAAACGCGUGAAGUAGACCGCCUGGGGAGUACGGUCGCAAGAUUAAAACUCAAAUGAAUUGACGGGGGCCCGCACAAGCGGUGGAUUAUGUGGAUUAAUUCGAUGCAACGCGAAAACCUUACCUGGCCUUGACAUGUAACGAACUUUCCAGAGAUGGAUUGGUGCUCGAAAGAGAACGUUAACACAGGUGCUGCAUGGCUGUCGUCAGCUCGUGUCGUGAGAUGUUGGGUUAAGUCCCGCAACGAGCGCAACCCUUGCCAUUAAUUGCCAUCAUUUAGUUGGGCACUUUAAUGGGACUGCCGGUGACAAACCGGAGGAAGUGGGGAUGACGUCAAGUCCUCAUGGCCCUUAUGGCCAGGGCUUCACACGGUAAUACAAUGGUCGGUACAGAGGGUUGCCAACCCGCGAGGGGAGCCAAUCCCAGAAAGCCGAUCGUAGUCCGGAUUGUAGUCUGCAACUCGAC